CAAAAGAUAAUUUAAAAUAUAAAAUAUUAACUUUGGAAGUUAAAGAUUCAAGCUUUUGAUCUUUUGA
Molecule: transfer RNA, 67 nt
Filed under: Membranipora grandicella
Lineage: Eukaryota; Metazoa; Bryozoa; Gymnolaemata; Cheilostomatida; Membraniporidae
Description: tRNA-Pro
Source: RNAcentral